RNAcentral lists this microRNA (23 nucleotides) under Ascaris suum (pig roundworm). RNAcentral describes it as "asu-miR-83-5p". Its record names the gene asu-miR-83-5p. The record is from miRBase by way of RNAcentral. Lineage: Eukaryota; Metazoa; Nematoda; Chromadorea; Rhabditida; Ascarididae.
CCUGAAUUUGUUUGUGUGCUGGA